RNAcentral lists this long non-coding RNA (3880 nucleotides) under Sus scrofa (pig). RNAcentral's name for it is "lncRNA (ENSSSCG00050003724.1)". The record is from RNAcentral. Lineage: Eukaryota; Metazoa; Chordata; Mammalia; Artiodactyla; Suidae.
CAAGCCAGCUUCAUUUAGUUUAUUGAAUGUUUUUAAGGAUUGGAGUAGUGGAGUUCCCGUUGUGGCAUAGUGGUUAACGAAUCUGACUAGGAACCACAAGGUUGUGGGUUCGAUUCCUGGCCUUGCUCCUGGGUUAAGGAUCCCGUGUUGCUGUGGCUCUGGCGUAGGCUGGUGACUACAGCUCUGAUUAGACCAUUAGCCUGGGAACCUCCAUAUGCUGCUGCGGGACUGGCCCUAGAAAAGGCAAAAAGAGUUUUAAAAAAAAAAAAAAAAAAAAAAAGGUAUUCUUGCUGGGUAGAAUAGUCCAGGCUGCAAAUUUUUCCCUUUUAGAACUUUGAAGAUGUCUUGCCAUUCUCUUGUGGUCUGUAAUGUUCUGUAGAGGAAUCAGCUGAUAGCCUUAUGGGGGUUCCCUUAUAAUUAAUGCUUUGUUUUUCUCUGGCUGCAUUUAGAAUCCUCUCUUUAACUUUUGCGUUUUUAUUAUAGCGUGUCUUGGUGUGAGCCUUUUUGGGUUCAAUUUGGGGCCCUCUGUGCUUCCUGUAUUUUGAUAGUUGUUUCCUUUAGAUUUGGAAAGUUUUCAGAUAUAAUUUCGUCAAAUAUAUUUUCAGUCCCCUUUUCUUUUUCUUCUCCUUCUGGAAUCCCUGUUAUGCAAAGAUUGGCCUGCUUUAUGUUAUCGCAUAGAUCUCUCAUAUUGCUUUCAUGUUUUUUCAUUUAGUUUUCCGUCUGUUCUCCUGAUUGAGUGAUUUCCAUUAUUCUGUCUUUCAGGUCACUGAGUUGCUCCUCUGCAUUAUUCAUUCUGCUCUUUAGUGCUUUUAACUCAGUUUGCAUCUCUGCAAAUGAAGUUUCUAAUUUUUUUGGAUCCUUCUUAUAUUUUCUAGUUCCUUUCUAAAGUAAUUUGCAUUACUGUUUAUAUCCACUCUUAAUUCCUUCACAUUCACCUUUAAUUCCUUCAGGAUUUUCACUAUCUCCCUUUUGAACUGCAGAGGUCUGUUUCCUUGUUUGUUGCUUCAGGUGAAGUCUCCUGUUCUUUUAAUUGGGAGGGGUUCCUGAGCUUCUUCAUUUCACUUAUAUUUUUCUUUUUCUGUGAGUUUAGGGACACCCACUACUGUAGUCUUGGAGGGCUAUUUCUAUGCAAGAGUGCCCCUUUGUAUUUUGUCGGGGGUUACUAUUUAUUUUUGGCAUGGGAGUUUGUGUAUUUGCUGUCUCUUCUCUCCAGUGUGAGCAGGCUGUUAUCCCCUUGAUAGGGUGCUGAGUGUGUUUCCAGGGAGAGGGAGGCAGUGGGUAGGGCCAGCAGUCAGUGCCUGGUUGCUGUGCUCUUGACCAUGGCAAGGACCUGCAGGAAGGUGGUGCAGGUGACUCCUAGUUGCAGGGCUCCGGGAAGUGGUAAUGAGCCUCAAACAGAUUUAGGCAGUGCCCGGAGCAUUUGGCAGUGGCAGCAGUAGGCUGAAUGUGUUCCCAGGGGAGUGAGAGCAACAAUGGGUGGUGCUUGGCUGGAGUGCCCUCUUUUUUGCUGACCUCUGAAGUGACUGGGUCCAUAGGUGGAGCCUGUUCACAGACCCCUAGUGGUGGCGGGGCAUGCCCGUCUCUGGUUUCUAAGAUGACUGCUGUGGUUUGUCCCAGCCACCUGUAGAUCACGCAAGAGGUGCUGUUUCGUGCUUAGGCACCUCCCACUGCCCUUAGCCCAAGAGGUGUCCGGCCACCCUGUAGACCACACAAGAGGCGCCUGGUCUCCUGGAGCCCGAGCAAGUGGUGCCUGGCCACCGUAGCCUGUGCCAGAGGCGCCCCACCCUCUGAGAGUCCAUGUGUGAGCAGGGAGAGAGAUUCCUAUGGUCCCUCUCCUCUCGCCCUCCCCAGCAAUGGCACCUUGCUUCUCCUGUGGGCCCAGACCUCCUCCCAGGUCCCCUUGGCUGUGGUGUCCCACUCCCUCACCCAUGGCACACUGCUCCCUAGCCCCGCAGGCUGUCUCCGCACAGCCAACCCUAGGCCCUCCUCGGAACUGAUUGCCAGAGCCUGAGUCUCAGUGCCCGGCCCCCGCCCAAGGGUCUCAGGCUCUGGUGUCUGGGGCAGUGGUGCAGAUGGUCUGUGUGGCUCUCACUCUGCUCUGCCUUCCUCCGUCCAGCUGCUGUGCUUUUCUCCACGACUUUGCGGUCCCUCCGUCUCAGCUGAUCUCCCCGUCGGUUAGGUGGCUUCCCGGGGUGUGGGUUCCUUUCCUCUUUAACAGCUCCCUCUCGGGAGUGCUGGUCCCAUCGUGGUUCCUGUCUUUCCUUUUGUUUGACCCAGUUGUGUGGAGGUUUUCUUGCUCCUUUUGGAGGUUUCAGUUCUUCCGCCAGCGUUGAGUAGAUGUUCUGUAUGAAUCGUUCCACACGUAGAUGUGAUUUUUGUUGUGUUUGUGGAGAAGGUGAGCACAACGUCUUACUCCUCGGCCGUCUUGAUCCUUCUCUGAUAAUUUUUUUUAACCAAAGAUGAACCUACAUUGACAUCAUAAUCACUCAAAGGCUUCAGUUUACCUCAGGAUUCACUCUUGGUGUUAUUAUUCUGUGGAUUGGGACAAAUGUAUGGUAACAGGUAUCCAUCAUUAUAAUAACAUACAGAGUAUUUUCCGUGCCCUAAAAAUUAUUUGUGUUCUGUCCAUCUCCCCCUGUGCCCACCCCUGGCAGCCACUGAUCUUUCUACUGUGUCUGUAGUUUUGCUUUUUCUAGAAUGUCAUGUAGUUGGAAUCAUGCAGUAUGUAGCCUUUUCAGACUGGUUUCUUUCACUUAAUCACAUGCACUUAGCUUUCCUUCAUGCUGUUUCAUGGCUCGAUAGCUCAUUUCUUUUCAGGACUGAAUACUAUUCCAUUGUCUGGAUGUUCCACAGUUUAUUUACCUACUGAAGGACAUUUUGAUUAUUUCCGGGUUUUGGCAAUUGUGGAUAAAGUUGCUCUAAACAUCUAUGUGCAGGUUUUUGUGUGGACAUAAGUUUUCAGCUCCUUUAGGUAAAUACCAAGGAGCACGUGGCUGGGUCAUAGAAUAAGAAUAUGUGUAGUUUUUGUAAGAAGCUGCCAAACUGUCUUCUAAAGUAGCUAUGCCAUUUUGCAUUCUCACCAACAAUGAAUGAGAGUUCCUGUUGCAGCAUUUCCUCACCAGCAUUUGGCAUUGCCAGUGUCAGAUUUUGGCCGUUCUUAUUGGUGUGUAGUGCUAUCUCAUUGUUAUUUUGAGGAGUUCCCAUCAUGGCUCAGCGUAAGUGAAUCUGACUAGCAUCCGUGAGGACACAGGUUCAGUCUCUGGCCUCGCUCAGUGGGUUAAGGAUCCAGUGUUGCUAUGAGCUGCGGUGUAGGUUGCAGACGCAGCUUGGAUCUGGCAUUGCCGUAGCUGUGGUGUAGGCCAGCGGCUCCAGCUCUGAUUGGCCCCUAGCCUGGGAAUCUCCAUAUGCCGAGGGUGUGGCCCUAAAAAGACAAAAAAAUAAAAAACAUUAAAAAAUUAUUGUGAUUUGCAUUUGCCUGAUGGUGUAUGAUAUAGAUCAUCCUUUUCUUUGCAAGCCUUAAGCUUUUAAGUAUUUUUUUUAUUCCAGCCUUGGAAUGACUUUUAUGAGAUAAGCAAAGUAGGUACUUUUAUCUCAGAUGUGCAGAUAAGAAAAUUGAGAUUUAGGGAGUUCCUGUCUUGGUACAGUGGAAAUGAAUCCUACUAGUAUCCAUGAGGAUGAGGGUUUGAUCCCUGGCUUCGCUUAGUGGUUUGGGGAUCCAGUGUUGCUGUGAACUGUGGUGUAACUUGCAAACAUGGCUUGGAUCCUGCAUUGCUGUGGCUGUGGUGUAGCCAGCAGCUGUAGCUCUAGCUCUAGCUCUAGCCUGGGAACUUCCGUAUGCCACAGGUGCAGCCCUAAAAAGGCAAAAAAAAAGAAAAAAAAA